UGCGCCACGAUAGGCGAGAUCAGA
Molecule: microRNA, 24 nt
Filed under: Pristionchus pacificus
Lineage: Eukaryota; Metazoa; Nematoda; Chromadorea; Rhabditida; Neodiplogasteridae
Description: ppc-miR-8331-5p
Source: miRBase by way of RNAcentral